UAAGCCCACAAACAGCCCUCUCUUCGUCUUUGUAUUUUCUUUUCAUAAAAAAACGUGAACACUGUUCAUCUUCUCGGGAGAACCAGUACCUUCUGCGUCCGCAGCGAUUCCCCAUUGAAAAUUUCCGUUUCCUCUUCCCAAUCAACCCCCCCCCCCCCCCCCCCCACCCACAGCACUCACACUUCCUCUUCCCACGAUCUCCGCUCGAAUCGGAAACAGAUGGAGGAAUCCGACCAGUUUCCGCAUAGUUCGCCCCCUUUAAAAUCUCUGCUCCACCUCCCCCGCCCUCGCUAUCAUGAACCUCCAGUACAGACAGGGGUUCUUCCAAAUCGCUCAUACCGUCAGUGCUUCUGGUGUGGGACGUCUUGGCUGCCGAACAAUCCGUUUUACACCUUCCUCACAGAAGUUCAAGACCAUUCAGGGAAAAGGGGAAUCUCCAUAGAUCCUUACCAGUAUGGAUAUAUUUCAGCGCACGAAGCAUCUGGUAGAUAAAGAACUGAUAGUGCUCCUUUGUCAAGUCAUCAUUAGCCUUGAUGACCUGGUGGAGGUCCAUAUCCAUGAGCUCGAAAAGUACAUACACCCAAGUAUAGGUAUGUUAUUAGUGCCUCCUAAAAUCAUUUUUUUUUUCCUCAAACGAAAUUCUUGCAUUCUGUCAGUUGGUUGCUUACAUUUCGGUUUUCUUCAUCUAAAAAACAUUUUUGUUAGAUGAGUACCACCUUUCACCCCUUUAGAUCCACUGGUAUUUGUUAGAUUUGCAAACGUGGAUAGAGCAGAACUUUCUUCAUGUAAUACAGGUUUGAAUUCCAUUCCCCUUGGUCAUGAACGUCAAGGAGGAAUGUCACGUGUCCGUGGACGCCGACGACGUCGGUCAUCACCUAAUCCUACUCCCCAACCCAAACCCAUAUGUUGCUGUGGAAAACCGUCGUAGGCGUAUACAUCUCAUGCCUAAAAAUAUAAACAGAGGUUUGUUAGGCAUAUUCUAUUCCUUCAACUAUGUAAGCUUUAGAUACCAUUUCUCUUGGUUCAUUUAACCAUAUCAUACUUUUUAUGGAUAAAGAAACAGCCUUCGUCGAGGGACAUCGUACGAACCGUUAAAUCAAGAAUCAUCUGAAUCAACAUCACACACUCAACAUCCAAUCUUUACACAUAGCCGUAAGCUUCUAUUUUCUUUAAUAUUUGUACCUUAAGAGUGUCUGUGCAAUUCACGUUUAAAUAAAAGCAUCCCUUCCCGGAUAAUCUUUUAGGGACUAUAUUUCAACCCUUAAACCUUGGAGGACCCAAACAUUCAUGCAAACAUUGCGGCGCCCUGUUUUGGUACGAAGAGCGUUUAUGCAGAGAUAGAACUACUCCAAAUCCAAUCUAUAAUUCGUGUUGUAAAGGAGGAAAAGUGUUCCUGGAGCCAUCUGAUCCUCCUCCUCAGCCCCUCAUGGAUUUAUUGACUUCAAAAGAUAAAGCACUAUCAAAGCCCUUUUUGAUCUUAUUCGCCAAUACAAUACCAUGUUAUGACUUCAAUGGGAGCUAAAGGUAAUGAGUCCAUAAAUGUUGGUGGAUGCCCAUAUGUUUUCAAAAUUACUGGCCAGCCCUGCCACCGUAUCGGCUCUCUGAAGAAAAUACUACUACUAUGAAAAGGCAGAAGGAAGAGUAUGUAUCAUUUCACACAAACUAUAUUACAUAUUAUCAUCAGUUAUAUGCUUCUCUCUCAAAUAUUUAUAGUUCUACAUCUUCUCUUAAGAAGCAAUGCUGACAAUAAUGAUGCGGCAAACAACUCCGAGCAGUAAGAGUAAAGCCAAUCUGCAUAAGGCAUAUCAUAGAACAUAUACAAGUAUGUGACCAACAAAUAAGAAGAUUUCCAUCCUAUGACGACAUAAUAUUUCCUGGGUUGAUAAUACCAAUACCCGCAGUGAUCAGCUUAUGUUGUGACAGAGAAAUGUGACUGAGAAACAUCCUCAUCUGAAGAAAAGUUUUGUAAACUAUAUCUAUAUCCUCAACUCCGUCUAUCGUACCUGCAUGGAUAUUAUUAACGAACCCAGCUUUUAGUUUUGCUUUCAACACUUUCAAGUUUCCGCUGGUCAAUUAUGUACAUAUUGAUGUGGCUUACAUUUUUGUUCUUAUGAUUUCAUAUGUCUUACAACCAGACAA
Molecule: long non-coding RNA, 2139 nt
Organism: Lolium perenne
Lineage: Eukaryota; Viridiplantae; Streptophyta; Magnoliopsida; Poales; Poaceae
Source: RefSeq, a predicted model, not a curated record